RNAcentral lists this ribosomal RNA (497 nucleotides) under uncultured bacterium. RNAcentral's name for it is "partial 16S ribosomal RNA". It matches the Rfam family "Bacterial small subunit ribosomal RNA", at positions 28 to 507 of the family's 1533-position model. The record is from RNAcentral.
GACGAACGCUGGCGGCGUGCCUAAUACAUGCAAGUUGAGCGCUGAAGGUUGGUACUUGUACCGACUGGAUGAGCAGCGAACGGGUGAGUAACGCGUGGGGAAUCUGCCUUUGGGCGGGGGACAACAUUUGGAAACGAAUGCUAAUACCGCAUAAAAACUUUAAACACAAGUUUUAAGUUUGAAAGAUGCAAUUGCAUCACUCAAAGAUGAUCCCGCGUUGUAUUAGCUAGUUGGUGAGGUAAAGGCUCACCAAGGCGAUGAUACAUAGCCGACCUGAGAGGGUGAUCGGCCACAUUGGGACUGAGACACGGCCCAAACUCCUACGGGAGGCAGCAGUAGGGAAUCUUCGGCAAUGGACGAAAGUCUGACCGAGCAACGCCGCGGGAGUGAAGAAGGUUUUCGGAUCGUAAAACUCUGUUGGUAGAGAAGAACGAUGGUGAGAGUGGAAAGCUCAUCAAGUGACGGUAACUACCCAGAAAGGGACGGCUAACUACGUG